CGAUGAACCUGAAUAUCCAUUAUGAAAAAUUCAUCAUUAUAACUUAUAUAUAUAUAUUAAAUAUUAAUAAAAAUAUAUGGGUGAUAGUGUGCAUUUUUUUCAUAUAAGGACAUUGUGAUCUAUUAACAUAACAAAAAUAUUUAUCAAAAGAUCAUUAGCUUAAGUUUAUUUGAAUUAAUUUGCUUUUAGCAUAUUAACAUAAAAUAAAUGCAAAUGAUUUGAUAAAGUGUUGAUAGAUUUAUUAUAUAUAAUGCUUAAAUUUUUGAAAGAAAAUUUUACAAUAAUAUAUAUUAUA
RNAcentral lists this ribosomal RNA (295 nucleotides) under Euphranta sp. 17-10-24-35-D. RNAcentral describes it as "partial 28S ribosomal RNA". The record is from RNAcentral. Lineage: Eukaryota; Metazoa; Arthropoda; Insecta; Diptera; Tephritidae.